This 83-nucleotide small RNA is filed under the name Aristaeella lactis. RNAcentral's name for it is "Gut-1 RNA". It matches the Rfam family "Gut-1 RNA". Lineage: Bacteria; Bacillati; Bacillota; Clostridia; Eubacteriales; Aristaeellaceae. The record is from RNAcentral.
AUGUGAAAUAUUCCGCUUCGCGGAAUGUGAAAUGUUGACUUCGUCAACGUGAAAUAUUCGCUACCGCGAAUGUGAGAAUUACU